Oncorhynchus tshawytscha (Chinook salmon) is the source of this 1632-nucleotide long non-coding RNA. NCBI's taxonomy places the organism in Eukaryota, Metazoa, Chordata, Actinopteri, Salmoniformes, Salmonidae. The record is from Ensembl.
CACUCUCCCUGUCUCUGUGUCUCUCCCUCCCCCGCACCUCUCUGAUUCAGAGGGGUUGGGUUAAAUGCACAAUACAUAUUUCGGUUGAAUACAUUCAGUUGCGCAACUGACUAUAUAUAUACAGUGGUGGAAAAUAAGUAUUUGGUCACCUACAAACAAGCAAGAUUUCUGGCUCUCACAGUCCUGUAACUUCUUCUUUAAGAGGCUCCUCUGUCCUCCACUCGUUACCUGUAUUAAUGGCACCUGUUUGAACUUGUUUUCAGUAUAAAAGACACCUGUCCACAACCUCAAACAGUCACACUCCAAACUCCACUAUGGCCAAGACCAUAGAGCUGUCAAAGGACACCAGAAACAAAAUUGUAGACCUGCACCAGGCUGGGAAGACUGAAUCUGCAAUAGGUAAGCAGCUUGGUUUGAAGAAAUCAACUGUGUGAGCAAUUAUUAGGAAAUGGAAGACAUACAAGACCACUGAUAAACUCCCUCGAUCUGGGGCUCCACGCAAGAUCUCACCCCGUGGGGUCAAAAUGAUCACAAGAACGGUGAGCAAAAAUCUGCCUGCUCCUCCUCUCCGUCCCAGGACCCCGGCUCUAGGUGCUGCCUGCUCCUCCUCUCCGUCCCAGGACCCCGGCUCUAGGUGCUGCCUGCUCCUCCUCUCCGUCCCAGGACCCCGGCUCUAGGUCCUGUCUGCUCCUCCUCUCCCUCCCAGGAACCCGGCUCUAGGUCCUGUCUGCUCCUCCUCUCCGUCCCAGGACCCCGGCUCUAGGUCCUGUCUGCUCCUCCUCUCCCUCCCAGGACCCCGGCUCUAGGUCCUGUCUGCUCCUCCUCUCCCUCCAGGAACCCGGCUCUAGGUCCUGUCUGCUCCUCCUCUCCCUCCCAGGACCCCGGCACUAGGUCCUGUCUGCUCCUCCUCUCCCUCCAGGAACCCGGCUCUAGGUCCUGUCUGCUCCUCCUCUCCCUCCAGGAACCCGGCUCUAGGUGGUUUUCAGGGUUCUCCCCUCUGCCUUGGCCAGGAGACAGUAGACUUAGUGGCUGCUGGUAAUCAGAGCUUGUUACUGGGACAUUGUUACAGUGUUUGUCUGUUUGUGUGUCUGUGUCUGAGUCUGUGUGUGUGUGUCUGUGGGUGUGUGUCUGUGUGUUAAUGGCGCUCCGCUUGGCGUGGCUCGUGGCCCAACGGUUGACAUUGAACCAUGUAAUUGAGUUAGCCAAGGCUGCCCAUCCUCAUCACCUAGCUGUGUAUAUAUGUGAUCAGCUGCCCAUAACCCUAGCAGUACAAGGCUCUCAUUUGUCAUUUCCCUCAUUACUGACAGAACGUGUGUGUGUGUGUGUGUGUCAGAGCGAGAGAGUAUGAGCGUGUGUGUGUGUGUGUGUGUGGCAGAGCGAGAGAGUAUGAGCGUGUGUGUGUGUGUGUGUGUGUGUGUGUGGCAGAGCGAGAGAGUAUGAGCCUGUGUGUGUGUGUGUGUGUGUGGGAGAGCGAGAGAGUAUGAGCGUGUGUGUGUGUGUGUGUGGCAGAGUGAGAGAGUAUGAGCAUGUGUGUGUGUGUAUGUGUGUGUGUGUGUGUGUGUGUGGCAGAGCGAGAGAGUAUGAGCGUGUGUUUUUGUGUGUGUGUGUGCAUAUUGGAAGUGCAGAUCUCCC